This 620-nucleotide ribosomal RNA is filed under the name Rhodobacteraceae bacterium I3. Its description in RNAcentral is "bacterial SSU rRNA". It matches the Rfam family "Bacterial small subunit ribosomal RNA", at positions 107 to 762 of the family's 1533-position model. The record is from RNAcentral. Lineage: Bacteria; Pseudomonadati; Pseudomonadota; Alphaproteobacteria; Rhodobacterales; Paracoccaceae.
UUAGUAACGCGUGGGAACGUACCCUUUUCUACGGAAUAGCCUCGGGAAACUGAGAGUAAUACCGUAUACGCCCUUCGGGGGAAAGAUUUAUCGGGGAAGGAUCGGCCCGCGUCUGAUUAGAUAGUUGGUGGGGUAAUGGCCUACCAAGUCUACGAUCAGUAGCUGGUUUUAGAGGAUGAUCAGCAACACUGGGACUGAGACACGGCCCAGACUCCUACGGGAGGCAGCAGUGGGGAAUCUUAGACAAUGGGCGCAAGCCUGAUCUAGCCAUGCCGCGUGAGUGAUGAAGGCCUUAGGGUCGUAAAGCUCUUUCGCCAGAGAUGAUAAUGACAGUAUCUGGUAAAGAAACCCCGGCUAACUCCGUGCCAGCAGCCGCGGUAAUACGGAGGGGGUUAGCGUUGUUCGGAAUUACUGGGCGUAAAGCGCACGUAGGCGGAUCAGAAAGUUGGGGGUGAAAUCCCGGGGCUCAACCCCGGAACGGCCUCCAAAACUCCUGGUCUUGAGUUCGAGAGAGGUGAGUGGAAUUCCGAGUGUAGAGGUGAAAUUCGUAGAUAUUCGGAGGAACACCAGUGGCGAAGGCGGCUCACUGGCUCGAUACUGACGCUGAGGUGCGAAAGUGU